RNAcentral lists this ribosomal RNA (423 nucleotides) under uncultured bacterium. RNAcentral describes it as "bacterial SSU rRNA". It matches the Rfam family "Bacterial small subunit ribosomal RNA", at positions 30 to 460 of the family's 1533-position model. The record is from RNAcentral.
AUUGAACGCUGGCGGAAUGCUUUACACAUGCAAGUCGAACGGUAGAGGGGGCAACCCCUUGAGAGUGGCGAACGGGUGAGUAAUAUAUCGGAACGUGCCCAGUCGUGGGGAUAACGUAGCGAAAGUUACGCUAAUACCGCAUACGAUCUAAGGAUGAAAGCGGGGGAUCGCAAGACCUCGCGCGAUUGGAGCGGCCGAUAUCAGAUUAGGUAGUUGGUGGGGUAAAGGCUCACCAAGCCAACGAUCUGUAGCUGGUCUGAGAGGACGACCAGCCACACUGGAACUGAGACACGGUCCAGACUCCUACGGGAGGCAGCAGUGGGGAAUUUUGGACAAAUGGGCGCAAGCCUGAUCCAGCAAUGCCGCGUGCAGGAUGAAGGCCUUCGGUGUAACUGCUUUGUACGGUAACGAAACGGUAGAGCU